GGAGAGAUGCCGGAGCGGCUGAACGGGCCGGUCUCGAAAACCGGAGUAGGGGCAACUCUACCGGGGGUUCAAAUCCCCCUCUCUCCGCCA
RNAcentral lists this transfer RNA (90 nucleotides) under Escherichia coli. RNAcentral describes it as "tRNA-Ser". It matches the Rfam family "tRNA". From Rfam's summary of the family: Transfer RNA (tRNA) molecules are approximately 80 nucleotides in length. Their secondary structure includes four short double-helical elements and three loops (D, anti-codon, and T loops). Lineage: Bacteria; Pseudomonadati; Pseudomonadota; Gammaproteobacteria; Enterobacterales; Enterobacteriaceae. RNAcentral also lists the same sequence under 2 other names. The record is from RNAcentral.